Balaenoptera ricei (Rice's whale) is the source of this 857-nucleotide long non-coding RNA. RefSeq lists it as uncharacterized. The record is from RefSeq and is a predicted model, not a curated record. The transcript has 3 exons. Lineage: Eukaryota; Metazoa; Chordata; Mammalia; Artiodactyla; Balaenopteridae.
GUCCAGGAAGUGGUGUUGUGGAGUGUGGACCCUGUUUUCCCAAGUCUCCUUCUCUGCCGUCGUCCCUCAAACCUGCUCAUUUCUAGGACUCACCACCGGCUCAAGACUCCUCACAGACGAGUUCAGGCUGCUCCCCAUUUGGGGAACCUGUCUAGGGACCGCGUAAGAGGGGGUUUUCCACCUGGCGCUGGAGCCAUUUCCAAGUCCAGUGACACGAAAGAUUUAUCAUCCUUGAGAAAAGGAAAGGCGGAGGCUGAAUGGAGUGGUCUGACGGGCGUUUCUAGUCUGCAUGGGAGCACAGCUUGAGGCAUAAGGAAACAGAUACAGAUCAGGUGCAGCUCCCGUGGGAGACCCGAUUACUCUCAGGAGCCUAGACAACUGACUGCUGCUACUUCCUGCACCUGGAGAUUCAGGGGGGGUCUCCUUUCCCUGGCAGACCUCCAGAGACCUUCUACACCCAUAUAUCUGAACGAGGUAUGCAUAGCCAUUUUGUAAAUACAGGCCCCUGAGUUUUAAGUGUCUUUCUGCUAUAUGGUUCUAAACAGGGCUCCAGAUCUAAUAAAUUUGUUAUAAUGUGAGAGCCGUAGAUCUGGUAAAUCCUCUUAGCGCCCUUGGGUUUAACUACCACUUGGUCCUGGAUGUGGUAAUCAGCUAGAGACCCCCUGUCCAACGAGAGUAUUUAAUGAAUACUCUGUGUCAUUGCUUGGCCAUCAGUUGGCAAUCUUCAUGGUGACCAAAUAUCAAAAGUAGGUAUCAUGGAAAGUCACUACAGAAAACCCCUUCUCAGUUGUCCUUAAAACCAUACUUGAAGGCUCCAGAAUAAUUGCGUUAUUAGUUGAUAAUCAUUUCAAGAAUAU